Molecule: ribosomal RNA, 440 nt
Filed under: uncultured bacterium
Lineage: Bacteria
Description: partial 16S ribosomal RNA
Rfam family: Bacterial small subunit ribosomal RNA
Source: RNAcentral
CCUACGGGUGGCUGCAGUGGGGGAUAUUGCACAAUGGGGGAAACCCUGAUGCAGCGACGCCGCGUGAGUGAAGAAGUAUUUCGGUAUGUAAAGCUCUAUUAUUAGGGAAGAAAAUGACAGUACGUGACCAAUAAGCCCUGGCUAACUACGUGCCAGCAGCCGCGGUAAUACGUCGGGGGCAAGCGUUCUCCGGAUUUACGGGGUGUAAAGGGAGCGUAGGUGGUUAUGUAAGUCUGGAGUGAAAGCCCGGGGCUCAACCGCGGGACUGCAUUGGAAACUGGGUAACUUGAGUACAGGAGGGGCAGGCGGAAUUCCUGGUGUAGCGGUGAAAUGCGUAGAUAUCAGGAGGAACACCGGCGGCGAAGGCGGCUUUCUGGACUGAAACUGACGUUGAGGCUCGAAAGCGUGGGGAGCAAACAGGAUUAGAUACCCCUGUAGUC